This 372-nucleotide long non-coding RNA is filed under the name Cyanoderma ruficeps (rufous-capped babbler). Its description in RNAcentral is "lncRNA (ENSCRFG00000010705.1)". Lineage: Eukaryota; Metazoa; Chordata; Aves; Passeriformes; Timaliidae. The record is from RNAcentral.
CAACUCUUGGCUCUUCCUCAGUGUUCGAGGGGUUAGAUUUCUUCAAAGAUUAAUUAACUGCCAGGUGGGAACUGAAUUGCAUGGAACUGGAUCUUCAAGAACAUUGGUGACAGAAGAAGCUGAGAUUUUGAGUGUGUCUGCUCUGAGGAGCAGCAGAGAGCCAGGCAUGGUCACCAGAUUCCUUCUUACAUUGUGUACCUAAGUGGCCAGGUUUUUAUUGCAUUUCCCACACAUUGCAAGCAUUUGGCUUCUGUGGAAUCAUCAUCCCAGUCCUGAGCCCUGAUGAACCUCCCGUGUUCCUCUGCACAGCUUGCUUCCAGCAGUCCCAAAACCCAGCUCUGCUUCUAUUGUACGGCUGACAGCAGCUCCAGG